UGUUUUGAGUUUUCUUCGUCUACUAUUGAUCAACAAUUUAUUCUUUUAUUCAUUAUUGAAUCAAGAAAGUAUAUCCUGACUUGGUAUCCGUCCACAUCCAAUAAGAGUGAAGUGGUUCUUUUUUGCUCAGUUUUUAUUCCUCAGUGUUCACGUCUGUUGAUGUGUGAGUGGAAGGGAAAGAAUUAAGAACCUGUUCUCAGGGUAUCAGCUUCCAAGUAUGCUGUUAGUCUUGAGAGAAAGCAACACUAUAAAAAUAAAAAGGAAAAACACCAUUUGGAAGACAUCAGUCUGAAACCACACCAAAGACAAAGCUUUAUCAGGUGAUGUACAUAUUUACCUAGGAUUUACUUUGUUGAUUUAUUAAAAAGCCUUGGUAAAACCAACAAACUCAAAAUUUUGGGAAAUCAAACUAAAAAUCAAUUAUUUGUCCCAGCAUACAAUAUUAUUCAUUAAAUGGGUAUGAAUCAAAGCAUAUAACUAGUUACAUUGAGGUAAUGAAGAACAAACUGGGAUUCUAGCACUUUCAAAAUACAACUUUAAAACUUCUUGGCCUAAUUUGUAGAUUAG
This 567-nucleotide long non-coding RNA is filed under the name Fukomys damarensis (Damara mole-rat). Its description in RNAcentral is "lncRNA (ENSFDAG00000023956.1)". Lineage: Eukaryota; Metazoa; Chordata; Mammalia; Rodentia; Bathyergidae. The record is from RNAcentral.